Molecule: ribosomal RNA, 610 nt
Filed under: Photobacterium phosphoreum
Lineage: Bacteria; Pseudomonadati; Pseudomonadota; Gammaproteobacteria; Vibrionales; Vibrionaceae
Description: bacterial SSU rRNA
Rfam family: Bacterial small subunit ribosomal RNA
Source: RNAcentral
ACAAGCGGUGGAGCAUGUGGUUUAAUUCGAUGCAACGCGAAGAACCUUACCUACUCUUGACAUCCAGAGAAUUCGCUAGAGAUAGCUUAGUGCCUUCGGGAACUCUGAGACAGGUGCUGCAUGGCUGUCGUCAGCUCGUGUUGUGAAAUGUUGGGUUAAGUCCCGCAACGAGCGCAACCCUUAUCCUUGUUUGCCAGCACGUAAUGGUGGGAACUCCAGGGAGACUGCCGGUGAUAAACCGGAGGAAGGUGGGGACGACGUCAAGUCAUCAUGGCCCUUACGAGUAGGGCUACACACGUGCUACAAUGGCGUAUACAGAGGGCUGCAAGCUAGCGAUAGUGAGCGAAUCCCACAAAGUACGUCGUAGUCCGGAUUGGAGUCUGCAACUCGACUCCAUGAAGUCGGAAUCGCUAGUAAUCGUGAAUCAGAAUGUCACGGUGAAUACGUUCCCGGGCCUUGUACACACCGCCCGUCACACCAUGGGAGUGGGCUGCACCAGAAGUAGAUAGCUUAACCUUCGGGAGGGCGUUUACCACGGUGUGGUUCAUGACUGGGGUGAAGUCGUAACAAGGUAGCCCUAGGGGAACCUGGGGCUGGAUCACCUCCUUAC